RNAcentral lists this ribosomal RNA (22 nucleotides) under Sanionia uncinata. RNAcentral describes it as "partial 18S ribosomal RNA". The record is from RNAcentral. Lineage: Eukaryota; Viridiplantae; Streptophyta; Bryopsida; Hypnales; Amblystegiaceae.
GUUUCCGUAGGUGACCUGCGGA